RNAcentral lists this ribosomal RNA (360 nucleotides) under uncultured bacterium. RNAcentral's name for it is "bacterial SSU rRNA". It matches the Rfam family "Bacterial small subunit ribosomal RNA", at positions 32 to 365 of the family's 1533-position model. The record is from RNAcentral.
AAUCAACGCUGGCGGCGUGCCUCAGACAUGCAAGUCGAACGCGAAAUUUCCCUUCGGGGAGAAAGUAGAGUGGCGCACGGGUGAGUAACACGUAGGUAAUUUGCCUUUGGGUGGGAAAUAACUCAGGGAAACUUGAGCUAAUACCGCAUAAUGCAGCGGCUCGACAUCGAGACAGUUGUUAAAGCGGGGGAUUGGAGCAAUCCGACCUCGCGCCUAAAGAGAAGCCUGCGGCAGAUUAGCUAGUUGGUAAGGUAAUGGCUUACCAAGGCGACGAUCUGUAACCGGCCUGAGAGGGCGGUCGGUCACACUGACACUGACAUACGGGUCAGACUCCUACGGGAGGCAGCAGUCGGGAAUUUU